AAAUAAUUUAUAUGAAAUGAAGCGGUGUAACUUGGGCCUCUUAAAUUAAAGAAUUUAUAUUACAAUAAUAAAGAAUUUUGUUCCAUUCAAAUUGCAAAUUUGAUAAAUUACACGAAAUUGUUAAAUAUUAGCAUAAAGUUAGUUGAAAAUUUUGCAUAUACAAAGAGUAAUGCAUGGUAUUAAUUAAUUUUAAAAUUAUUGGAAAUUUUUAAUAGACUAAGAAUGUGCCAGCAGUCGCGGUUAUGCAUUCUAUUGUUAAUAUGUUAAAGUACGGAUUAAAAAUUUAGGGUAAAAUCUUGAAAAUUUUUAAUCUUUAUAUUAUAAGGUAGAAACGAGGAUUAGAUACCCUUUUAUUCAAUAUUACUUACAUUAGUAAAUAAAAAAUUUUUGAUUGUGAAGAUUUUUUGAAGGAAUUUGUUUUAAGAAAUUACUCUUUAAGAAUAAGUUUAUUUUAGGUAUAUUGCUGUAAUUUUAUUAAAUUUUAAGAUUAUAAUAAGAAAUAAUGAUAAUUUAGUCAAGUCAUAAUGCUGAAAAUUAAUGUAAUUAAUUAGUUAUAAAAAUUUUUUUAUGGAAUAUAAUUUGAUUAUAAAUUAAGAUUCAAAAUUAAUUUGAUUAUUUUAAAAUUAAAUGAAAAUUUUAUUCUUCAUGUACAAAUUGCCCGUCACUUUCACUAAAAUGAAUUAAGUCGUAACAAAGUAGUUUUAUUGGAAAAUAUUUAGUUUGGC
Molecule: ribosomal RNA, 725 nt
Filed under: Gnathostomula paradoxa
Lineage: Eukaryota; Metazoa; Gnathostomulida; Bursovaginoidea; Gnathostomulidae
Description: 12S ribosomal RNA
Source: RNAcentral